This 72-nucleotide transfer RNA is filed under the name Urocitellus parryii (Arctic ground squirrel). RNAcentral's name for it is "Spermophilus parryii (Arctic ground squirrel) tRNA". It matches the Rfam family "tRNA". From Rfam's summary of the family: Transfer RNA (tRNA) molecules are approximately 80 nucleotides in length. The record is from Rfam by way of RNAcentral. Lineage: Eukaryota; Metazoa; Chordata; Mammalia; Rodentia; Sciuridae. RNAcentral also lists the same sequence under 1 other name.
GAGGAUGUAGCUUAGUGGUAGAGCACAUGCUUAGCAUGCUCAAGACCCUGAGUUUGAUCCCCAGCAUCACCA